GUCAACACAGGCCCCGCAGUUUUGGAGUAUGAAGGCUUCAUGUUCCGAAACUGAUCAUAGAAGUCCGAUGAUUCGAUAUCUUUAGAGCCAAUGACGUCUGGUUGCAAUAUUCAAAGCACCAUCGACUCCUCUUGAAAUAUAAAGAACUCCAUGACUCCUCUUGAAAUAUAAAGAACUCCAUCAGCUUGAUGUCUUGAUCCCACUCUGAGCCGAUGAAUCUGUUGGCAAUGGAAACAAAAGAUCAAGUAUGUUGACACCAAAACUUG
Molecule: long non-coding RNA, 266 nt
Filed under: Setaria italica (foxtail millet)
Lineage: Eukaryota; Viridiplantae; Streptophyta; Magnoliopsida; Poales; Poaceae
Description: long non-coding RNA (SITA_LNC002520)
Source: RNAcentral